Molecule: ribosomal RNA, 491 nt
Filed under: uncultured bacterium
Lineage: Bacteria
Description: partial 16S ribosomal RNA
Rfam family: Bacterial small subunit ribosomal RNA
Source: RNAcentral
AGUGAACGCUGGCGGUAGGCCUAACACAUGCAAGUCGAACGGCAGCACAGUAAGAGCUUGCUCUUACGGGUGGCGAGUGGCGGACGGGUGAGGAAUACAUCGGAAUCUACUUUUUCGUGGGGGAUAACGUAGGGAAACUUACGCUAAUACCGCAUACGACCUACGGGUGAAAGCAGGGGAUCUUCGGACCUUGCGCGAUUGAAUGAGCCGAUGUCGGAUUAGCUAGUUGGCGGGGUAAAGGCCCACCAAGGCGACGAUCCGUAGCUGGUCUGAGAGGAUGAUCAGCCAACGGGGAACGAGGACACGGUCCAAACUCCGGCGGGAGGCAGCGGUGGGGAAUAUUGGAAAAGGGGCGGAAGCGGAUACCAGCCAAACCGGGGGGGUGAAGAAGGCCUUCGGGGUGUAAAGCCCUUUUGUUGGGAAAGAAAAGAAGCAGGUUAAUCCCCCGGUGUUUUGACGGUGCCCAAAAAAAAAGCCCCGGCUAAUUUGUG